This 331-nucleotide ribosomal RNA is filed under the name uncultured Lactarius. RNAcentral's name for it is "eukaryotic LSU rRNA". The stretch from base 276 to 331 matches the Rfam family "Eukaryotic large subunit ribosomal RNA", at positions 1 to 56 of the family's 3401-position model. Lineage: Eukaryota; Fungi; Basidiomycota; Agaricomycetes; Russulales; Russulaceae. The record is from RNAcentral.
CACACCCGUUUGAGUGUCGUGAAAAUCUCAACCUUCUCGGUUUCUUCUGGACACCGAAGGAGGCUUGGACUUUGGAGGCUUUUGCUGGCAUAUCUCCCAGCUCCUCUCAAUGAAUUAGCGGGGUCCUCUUUGCCGAUCCUCGACAUGUGAUAAGAUGUUUCCGUGUCUUGGUUUAUGGCUCUGUUGCUUUUGGGACCCGCUUCUAGCCGUCUCGUCGAGACAACGUUUGAGCGUGUCUCCCUUCUCGGGGAAACGCUCUCAGACCCACGAACCCUUGACCUCAAAUCGGGUGAGACUACCCGCUGAACUUAAGCAUAUCAAUAAGCGGAGG